Molecule: non-coding RNA, 351 nt
Organism: Paramuricea clavata
Lineage: Eukaryota; Metazoa; Cnidaria; Anthozoa; Malacalcyonacea; Plexauridae
Source: the annotation of a GenBank genome assembly
GUGAGUUUGAUCAUUUUUAACAACUAUUUAACGCACAAUACACACAAAACCGUUAUGUUCAAACCAAACUUAUAAUUAGUAUACAUUUAUGUGAAACAUACCAUUUGACACCAAAUCACCAAAGUUUUAUUCCUCUUUCAACCUGGCUUGAAAUCAGCCCGGUUUGUGUAAAGUUACCCAAGUGAAUUUUAAUUCCUUUGGACAUUUCUUAGUUUACAUGAUAUAUUUUACGAUAUAAUUCCUUAAUUUAUCUUUACGUUUUAAUGAACUUCAUCAGCGUGCAUAUAUCUUGUUGGAUGAUGAAGCCGUUGAAGCGCAUCAGUGCAGAUGAAUUUGUGGGUUUCUUCCUAG